Molecule: small nucleolar RNA, 84 nt
Organism: Oncorhynchus kisutch (coho salmon)
Lineage: Eukaryota; Metazoa; Chordata; Actinopteri; Salmoniformes; Salmonidae
Source: Ensembl
UGUGUGUGAGACCACGGAACACUGCGUCAGGCAUGGCGUCUGACACGCAUGAGGAUGCAUUCCAUGUUGCCUUCUGAGACCACA